This 253-nucleotide ribosomal RNA is filed under the name uncultured bacterium. RNAcentral describes it as "partial 16S ribosomal RNA". It matches the Rfam family "Bacterial small subunit ribosomal RNA", at positions 524 to 776 of the family's 1533-position model. The record is from RNAcentral.
UACGUAGGUGGCAAGCGUUGUCCGGAUUUAUUGGGUUUAAAGGGUGCGUAGGCGGUUCUAUAAGUCAGUGGUGAAAUACGGCAGCUCAACUGUCGAGGUGCCAUUGAUACUGUAGGACUAGAGUACUGUUGAGGUAGGCGGAAUGGACGGAGUAGCGGUGAAAUGCUUAGAUAUCGUCCAGAACACCGAUAGCGAAGGCAGCUUACUAAAGAGUAACUGACGCUGAGGCACGAAAGUGUGGGGAUCAAACAGG